Long non-coding RNA from Piliocolobus tephrosceles (Ugandan red Colobus), 1310 nucleotides. RefSeq lists it as uncharacterized. NCBI's taxonomy places the organism in Eukaryota, Metazoa, Chordata, Mammalia, Primates, Cercopithecidae. The record is from RefSeq and is a predicted model, not a curated record. The transcript is spliced from 3 exons.
CUCCUGACCUCGUGAUCCACCCGCCACGGCCUCCCAAAAUGCUAGGAUUAUAGAUGUUAGCCACUGUGCCUGGCCAGAAUCUGUUAAUUUCAAGCUGCAAAAACCUUAUUAUUUUAGGGUUAGCAUUAAAAAUGAGGAAUGGGCAAUUUUCUUGUAUUCUUUGUAUGUAAUUAAGCAAUAGUAAAUAGACACUGAAACAAAGCGAAAUGUUAAUGGUGACUAUUCGGAGCACCUGCUCUAUUUUCUCUGGAUUCCCUGAUAUUUCUGAAAAUUUUUAAGAUAGUUUUGAUCAGUGAUUAGUACUACCUUGCCAGAAAUGUGCUCAGUUAAGAGAUAAGUGAAUGAGUUGGCUAAAAGCACAAUUACUAAGUAGUGAGGUCACAGCUGGAUCAUUACUGAUUCCAUUUUCUCUCUUCAGAUAUUUUCAAGGCUUCAUACUGUGUUGCAAUGUAACACUAAGAACAUACAAUUUGAAAACAACUUGUUUUUCAUUUGUUUCUAGAAGUUAUACUUCAAUAUUGGAGCAAGGUACAACAAUUUGAAGGACAUUAUUAGCCAAUUUAAUCUGAAUUUGGCUAGAAACACCUACAAAGUUCUAGGUCCCUGCAGAUAACAAGUGGUGACCCAGAACAGAGACUUCAAGGAUGUCAACAAGUGACGUCCGAACACAGGCACUUCAAGGACAUGAACGAAGAAAGUCUGCUGGAGCAGAGGAACUAAAAUUGACAAGAAAAACAGGGACUCUGGGACGAGUCUGCCGGUAGCAGAUAUAAGGAGAUGGACAAACUGUGUGGAUGCCCUCAAGGUGCAUGAGACCAUGGAACAGGAGACUGGAGGAACCCAGGGUGGGCAACCAUGGGCUCGGUCCCUUGGUACUAGUCAUGAACCAGCUGAGCCUGAGAGCAAAGACGGAGAGAAGGCCAACCAGAGACACCACGACAUCAACCCCAUAACCUGGGGGCAACUCAAGAAAACCAUGCAGGAAGCUGAGAAACUACUGGAGCAUCAAAACCAGACAAAAACCCCUAAUUACAUGUUCGUGGCCAUGUUAGCCAUAAGGUCCUGUGUGAUAUGUUUUCCCUGUGCAGAGGCAAAAACAUAUUGGGCGUAUGUUCCCAAUUCCCCAGCAGUAUGACCUAUACUUCAGAGUGACACUCCUCCUGAGAUUUAUUAUGAUCAAGGAGCUUGGGCUUCAGGACCCCUAACUCCCCCUGACAUAGAACAGUUAGACUGUCAGAAUAAUGUCAUUAAUUAUAUCGUUCCACUGGAAGGACUCCUCAUGUGUAUCACCACAAAGAUAUCACUCAGUC